CCUACGGGCGGCUGCAGUGGGGAAUAUUGGACAAUGGGGGCAACCCUGAUCCAGCCAUGCCGCGUGUGUGAAGAAGGCCCUCGGGUUGUAAAGCACUUUCAGUGAGGAAGAACGCCUGGUGGUUAAUACCCAUCAGGAAAGACAUCACUCACAGAAGAAGCACCGGCUAACUCCGUGCCAGCAGCCGCGGUAAUACGGAGGGUGCGAGCGUUAAUCGGAAUUACUGGGCGUAAAGCGCGCGUAGGUGGCUUGAUAAGCCGGUUGUGAAAGCCCCGGCUCAACCUGGGAACGGCAUCCGGAACUGUCAAGCUAGAGUGCAGGAGAGGAAGGUAGAAUUCCCGGUGUAGCGGUGAAAUGCGUAGAGAUCGGGAGGAAUACCAGUGGCGAAGGCGGCCUUCUGGACUGACACUGACACUGAGGUGCGAAAGCGUGGGUAGCAAACAGGAUUAGAUACCCUAGUAGUC
This 464-nucleotide ribosomal RNA is filed under the name Vreelandella stevensii. RNAcentral describes it as "partial 16S ribosomal RNA". It matches the Rfam family "Bacterial small subunit ribosomal RNA", at positions 338 to 795 of the family's 1533-position model. Lineage: Bacteria; Pseudomonadati; Pseudomonadota; Gammaproteobacteria; Oceanospirillales; Halomonadaceae. The record is from RNAcentral.